GAUGAACGCUGGCGGCGUGCCUAAUACAUGCAAGUCGAGCGAAUGGAUUAAGAGCUUGCUCUUAUGAAGUUAGCGGCGGACGGGUGAGUAACACGUGGGUAACCUGCCCAUAAGACUGGGAUAACUCCGGGAAACCGGGGCUAAUACCGGAUCACAUUUUGAACCGCAUGGUUCGAAAUUGAAAGGCGGCUUCGGCUGUCAGUUAUGGAUGGACCCGCGUCGCAUUAGCUAGUUGGUGAGGUAACGGCUCAACAAGGCAACGAUGCGUAGCCGACCUGGGAGGGUGAUCGGCCACACUGGGACUGAGACACGGCCCAGACUCCUACGGGAGGCAGCAGUAGGGAAUCUUCCGCAAUGGACGAAAGUCUGACGGAGCAACGCCGCGUGAGCGAUGAAGGCUUUCGGGUCGUAAAACUCUGUUGUUAGGGAAGAACAAGUGCUAGUUGAAUAAGCUGGCACCUUGACGGUACCUAACCAGAAAGCCACGGCUAACUACGUGCCAGCCGCCGCGGUAA
Molecule: ribosomal RNA, 515 nt
Filed under: uncultured bacterium
Lineage: Bacteria
Description: partial 16S ribosomal RNA
Rfam family: Bacterial small subunit ribosomal RNA
Source: RNAcentral